GAUGAACGCUGACAGAAUGCUUAACACAUGCAAGUCUUUGGCGAAGCUGUGCUUGCACCGCCUAGCCAAGGCGGACGGGUGAGUAACGCGUAAGGAACUUGCCCUGCAGUCAGGGAUAACAGACGGAAACGACUGAUAAGACCUGGUAAAGUCAGGCGGACUCAUGUCCAGCCUGAUGAAAAGAGAUGCUGCAGGAGAGCCUUGCGUCCUAUUAGCUUGUUGGUGGGGUAACGGCCCACCAAGGCGAUGAUAGGUAGCCGGCCUGAGAGGGUGGAUGGCCACAAGGGGACUGAGAUACGGCCCUUACUCCUACGGGAGGCAGCAGUGGGGAAUAUUGGACAAUGGGGGCAACCCUGAUCCAGCAAUUCUGUGUGCACGAUGAAGGUUUUCGGAUUGUAAAGUGCUUUCAGCAGGGAAGAAAAAAAUGACGGUACCUGCAGAAGAAGCGACGGCUAAAUACGUG
Molecule: ribosomal RNA, 463 nt
Filed under: uncultured bacterium
Lineage: Bacteria
Description: partial 16S ribosomal RNA
Rfam family: Bacterial small subunit ribosomal RNA
Source: RNAcentral